UCUCAGUUCGGAUUGUAGUCUGCAACUCGACUACAUGAAGCUGGAAUCGCUAGUAAUCGCGAAUCAGAAUGUCGCGGUGAAUACGUUCCCGGGUCUUGUACACACCGCCCGUCACACCAUGGGAGUUGGGAAUGCCCGAAGCCGGUGACCUAACCGAAAGGACGGAGCCGUCGAAGGCAGAUUCGAUAACUGGGGUGAAGUCGUAACAAGGUAGC
This 215-nucleotide ribosomal RNA is filed under the name uncultured bacterium. RNAcentral's name for it is "partial 16S ribosomal RNA". It matches the Rfam family "Bacterial small subunit ribosomal RNA", at positions 1286 to 1500 of the family's 1533-position model. The record is from RNAcentral.